This 23-nucleotide microRNA is filed under the name Caenorhabditis briggsae. RNAcentral's name for it is "Cbr-Mir-7584_3p* (star (passenger))". Lineage: Eukaryota; Metazoa; Nematoda; Chromadorea; Rhabditida; Rhabditidae. The record is from RNAcentral.
CUUCAAACGCAUGUAUCUUGACU